CGGGGGCCCGCACAAGCAGUGGAGUAUGUGGUUUAAUUCGACGCAACGCGAAGAACCUUACCAGGGCUUGACAUAUCCAGGAAUAUAUAAGAGAUUAUAUAGCUCUUCGGAGUCUGUAUACAGGUGGUGCAUGGUUGUCGUCAGCUCGUGUCGUGAGAUGUUGGGUUAAGUCCCGCAACGAGCGCAACCCCUGUUUCUAGUUACCAGCACGUGAAGGUGGGGACUCUAGAGAGACUGCCGGUGAUAAAUCGGAGGAAGGUGGGGACGACGUCAAAUCAUCAUGCCCUUUAUGUCCUGGGCUACACACGUACUACAAUGGCUAUAACAAAGAGAAGCGAGACCGAGAGGUGGAGCAAAACUCAAAAAAGUAGUCUCAGUUCGGAUUGAAGGCUGAAAUUCGCCUACAUGAAGCCGGAAUUGCUAGUAAUGGCAGGUCAGCAUACUGCCGUGAAUACGUUCCCGGGCCUUGUACACACCGCCCGUCACACCAUGAGAGUUGGGAAUACCCGAAGCCUGUGAGCUAACGCAAGAGGCAGCAGUCGAAGGUAGAAUCAAUGAUUGGGGUGAAGUCGUAACA
RNAcentral lists this ribosomal RNA (577 nucleotides) under uncultured bacterium. RNAcentral's name for it is "bacterial SSU rRNA". It matches the Rfam family "Bacterial small subunit ribosomal RNA", at positions 914 to 1493 of the family's 1533-position model. The record is from RNAcentral.